This is a non-coding RNA of Spinacia oleracea (spinach), 78 nucleotides long. The record is from Rfam. Lineage: Eukaryota; Viridiplantae; Streptophyta; Magnoliopsida; Caryophyllales; Amaranthaceae.
AAGAUUGUUUGACGAUGAGAGAGAGCACGCUUGUCAGCAUUCACGCACAUGCGUGCUGUCUCGCAUCGUUAUAUAAUC